Molecule: ribosomal RNA, 484 nt
Filed under: uncultured bacterium
Lineage: Bacteria
Description: partial 16S ribosomal RNA
Rfam family: Bacterial small subunit ribosomal RNA
Source: RNAcentral
AUUGAACGCUAGCGGGAUGCUUUACACAUGCAAGUCGAACGGCAGCGCGGACUUCGGUAUGGCGGCGAGUGGCGAACGGGUGAGUAAUGUAUCGGAACGUGCCCAGUAGCGGGGGAUAACUACGCGAAAGCGUAGCUAAUACCGCAUACGCCCUACGGGGGAAAGCAGGGGAUCGUAAGACCUUGCACUAUUGGAGCGGCCGAUAUCGGAUUAGCUAGUUGGUGAGGUAACGGCUCACCAAGGCGACGAUCCGUAGCUGGUUUGAGAGGACGACCAGCCACACUGGGACUGAGACACGGCCCAGACUCCUACGGGAGGCAGCAGUGGGGAAUUUUGGACAAUGGGGGCAACCCUGAUCCAGCCAUCCCGCGUGUGCGAUGAAGGCCUUCGGGUUGUAAAGCACUUUUGGCAGGAAAGAAACGUCGCGGGCUAAUACCCCGUGGAACUGACGGUACCUGCAGAAUAAGCACCGGCUAACUACGUG